This is a non-coding RNA of Paragonimus kellicotti, 81 nucleotides long. Lineage: Eukaryota; Metazoa; Platyhelminthes; Trematoda; Plagiorchiida; Troglotrematidae. The record is from the annotation of a GenBank genome assembly.
GGCUUCAUAGUUCAGCCGGUAGAGAACUUGCCGCAUUUGGACAUGCUAUUUCUUUUGCUGGUUCAAAUCUAGUUGAAGUCC